Molecule: transfer RNA, 83 nt
Filed under: Rhipicephalus microplus (southern cattle tick)
Lineage: Eukaryota; Metazoa; Arthropoda; Arachnida; Ixodida; Ixodidae
Description: tRNA-Leu
Rfam family: tRNA
About the family: Transfer RNA (tRNA) molecules are approximately 80 nucleotides in length. Their secondary structure includes four short double-helical elements and three loops (D, anti-codon, and T loops). Further hydrogen bonds mediate the characteristic L-shaped molecular structure. tRNAs have two regions of fundamental functional importance: the anti-codon, which is responsible for specific mRNA codon recognition, and the 3' end, to which the tRNAs corresponding amino acid is attached (by aminoacyl-tRNA synthetases). tRNAs cope with the degeneracy of the genetic code in two manners: having more than one tRNA (with a specific anti-codon) for a particular amino acid; and 'wobble' base-pairing, i.e. permitting non-standard base-pairing at the 3rd anti-codon position.
Source: Rfam by way of RNAcentral
GUCAGGAUGGCCGAGCGGACAAGGCGCUGCGUUCAGGUCGCAGUCCGGUCUUCCGGGCGUGGGUUCGAAUCCCACUUCUGACA